Molecule: ribosomal RNA, 1430 nt
Filed under: Bacillus sp. 210_44
Lineage: Bacteria; Bacillati; Bacillota; Bacilli; Caryophanales; Bacillaceae
Description: 16S ribosomal RNA
Rfam family: Bacterial small subunit ribosomal RNA
Source: RNAcentral
AUACAUGCAAGUCGAGCGAACUUUUGGGAGCUUGCUCCCAAAAGUUAGCGGCGGACGGGUGAGUAACACGUGGGCAACCUGCCUAUAAGACUGGGAUAACUUCGGGAAACCGGAGCUAAUACCGGAUAACAUAUGAGACCACAUGGUCUCAUAUUAAAAGAUGGCUUUUAGCUAUCACUUAUAGAUGGGCCCGCGGCGCAUUAGCUAGUUGGUGAGGUAAUGGCUCACCAAGGCGACGAUGCGUAGCCGACCUGAGAGGGUGAUCGGCCACACUGGGACUGAGACACGGCCCAGACUCCUACGGGAGGCAGCAGUAGGGAAUCUUCCGCAAUGGACGAAAGUCUGACGGAGCAACGCCGCGUGAGCGAAGAAGGUCUUCGGAUCGUAAAGCUCUGUUGUUAGGGAAGAACAAGUACCGUUCAAAUAGGGCGGUACCUUGACGGUACCUAACCAGAAAGCCACGGCUAACUACGUGCCAGCAGCCGCGGUAAUACGUAGGUGGCAAGCGUUAUCCGGAAUUAUUGGGCGUAAAGCGCGCGCAGGCGGUCCUUUAAGUCUGAUGUGAAAGCCCACGGCUCAACCGUGGAGGGUCAUUGGAAACUGGGGGACUUGAGUGCAGAAGAGGAGAGCGGAAUUCCACGUGUAGCGGUGAAAUGCGUAGAGAUGUGGAGGAACACCAGUGGCGAAGGCGGCUCUCUGGUCUGUAACUGACGCUGAGGCGCGAAAGCGUGGGGAGCGAACAGGAUUAGAUACCCUGGUAGUCCACGCCGUAAACGAUGAGUGCUAAGUGUUAGAGGGUUUCCGCCCUUUAGUGCUGCAGCAAACGCAUUAAGCACUCCGCCUGGGGAGUACGGUCGCAAGACUGAAACUCAAAGGAAUUGACGGGGGCCCGCACAAGCGGUGGAGCAUGUGGUUUAAUUCGAAGCAACGCGAAGAACCUUACCAGGUCUUGACAUCCCGUGACAACCCUAGAGAUAGGGCUUUCCCCUUCGGGGGACACGGUGACAGGUGGUGCAUGGUUGUCGUCAGCUCGUGUCGUGAGAUGUUGGGUUAAGUCCCGCAACGAGCGCAACCCUUGAUCUUAGUUGCCAGCAUUAAGUUGGGCACUCUAAGGUGACUGCCGGUGACAAACCGGAGGAAGGUGGGGAUGACGUCAAAUCAUCAUGCCCCUUAUGACCUGGGCUACACACGUGCUACAAUGGAUGGUACAAAGGGCAGCGAAACCGCGAGGUUAAGCCAAUCCCAUAAAACCAUUCUCAGUUCGGAUUGCAGGCUGCAACUCGCCUGCAUGAAGCCGGAAUCGCUAGUAAUCGCGGAUCAGCAUGCCGCGGUGAAUACGUUCCCGGGCCUUGUACACACCGCCCGUCACACCACGAGAGUUUGUAACACCCGAAGUCGGUGGGGUAACCGUAAGGAGCCAGCCGCCUAAG